Molecule: ribosomal RNA, 427 nt
Filed under: uncultured bacterium
Lineage: Bacteria
Description: bacterial SSU rRNA
Rfam family: Bacterial small subunit ribosomal RNA
Source: RNAcentral
UAGGGAAUAUUGGACAAUGGGGGCAACCCUGAUCCAGCCAUGCCGCGUGAGUGAAGAAGGCCCUCGGGUUGUAAAGCUCUUUUGUCCGGAAAGAAAAGCUUCGGGUUAAUACCCCGGGGUUCUGACGGUACCGGAAGAAUAAGCACCGGCUAACUUCGUGCCAGCAGCCGCGGUAAUACGAAGGGUGCAAGCGUUACUCGGAAUUACUGGGCGUAAAGCGUGCGUAGGUGGUUGUUUAAGUCUGAUGUGAAAGCCCUGGGCUCAACCUGGGAAGGGCAUUGGAAACUGGGCAGCUAGAGUGCGGUAGAGGGUAGUGAAAUUCCCGGUGUAGCAGUGAAAUGCGUAGAGAUCGGGAGGAACAUCUGUGGCGAAGGCGACUGCCUGGACCAGCACUGACACUGAGGCACGAAAGCGUGGGGGGCAAACA